This is a non-coding RNA of Pelobates cultripes (western spadefoot toad), 451 nucleotides long. The record is from the annotation of a GenBank genome assembly. NCBI's taxonomy places the organism in Eukaryota, Metazoa, Chordata, Amphibia, Anura, Pelobatidae.
GAUCAAUUUCAACAUCAAAAAGUUACAUACCGUGGGGAGGGCGGGGCCUCACCGCCAUGCUGAAUAGUCGCACUAUGUUAGAGUUCUGUGCAGAAUCCUGAAUAUUAUCUAAAUAGCUGACUUUUUGUUCGUAAUUAUCGAACCUAAAGUUACUGCAGAAGUAGUCUAGUUUGCAGGCUUAAGUGGAGAAGUGGCUGAUAUGGAAGUUGAACCUCUCCGGUCAAGCCCCAGAGUUCCCCCACCUUGCCCGUGAGGGGUAUCCUGGUGUCUAUCAGCCUUGGGUCCUACAGAAACAUAGGAGGGAGUGAGGUCUAGCACAAUGUCCCACCUAACAUGGUGGCUGCCAUGUGCCAACCACACACUUACAACUCACUACCAUGUCUCGGCUUCAUAGAAUCUUCAAUGUUUUCUGUGCAAAGAAAGCCAGCAGAAUGCUGCCCCUCACGCACAG